RNAcentral lists this non-coding RNA (375 nucleotides) under Myotis brandtii (Brandt's bat). Its description in RNAcentral is "Eukaryotic large subunit ribosomal RNA". It matches the Rfam family "Eukaryotic large subunit ribosomal RNA", at positions 3024 to 3399 of the family's 3401-position model. Lineage: Eukaryota; Metazoa; Chordata; Mammalia; Chiroptera; Vespertilionidae. The record is from Rfam by way of RNAcentral.
CCUGGUUGAUAUCAAAACUAGAGUUCAGACAUUUGGUGUAUGUGCUUGGCUGAGGAGCCACUGGGGUGAAACUAACUAACAUCUGUGGGAUUAUGACUGAACGCCUCUAAGUCAGCAGCGCCGCGGUGUCUCCGUUGGCCUUAGAGCCUCGGUUGGCCUCGGAUAGCCAGGUCCAGUGCGGAGAGCCCCUCGUCCUGGGAAACGGGGUGUGGCUGGAAAGGGGGCCGCCCCCUCUCCUUUCACGCAACUCACAUUUGUGGGGAACCUGGUGCUAAACCAUUCGUAGACGACCUGCUUCUAGGUCGGGGUUUCCUACAUUGUAGAGCAGCUCCCCUGCUGCAAUCUAUUGAAAGUCAGCUCUUGACACAAGGGUUU